RNAcentral lists this ribosomal RNA (497 nucleotides) under uncultured bacterium. Its description in RNAcentral is "partial 16S ribosomal RNA". It matches the Rfam family "Bacterial small subunit ribosomal RNA", at positions 28 to 507 of the family's 1533-position model. The record is from RNAcentral.
GAUGAACGCUGGCGGCGUGCCUAAUACAUGCAAGUCGAGCGAACGGACGAGAAGCUUGCUUCUCUGAUGUUAGCGGCGGACGGGUGAGUAACACGUGGAUAACCUACCUAUAAGACUGGGAUAACUUCGGGAAACCGGAGCUAAUACCGGAUAAUAUUUUGAACCGCAUGGUUCAAAAGUGAAAGACGGUGUUGCUGUCACUUAUAGAUGGAUCCGGGCUGCUUUAGCUAGUUGGUAAGGUCACGGCUUACCAAGGCGACGAUGCAUAGCCGACGUGACAGGGUGAUCGGCCACACGGGAACUGGGACACGGUCCAGGCGCCUACGGGAGGCAGCAGUAGGGAAUCUGCCGCAAUGGGCGAAAGCCUGACGGAGCAACGCCGCGUGAGCGAUGGAAGUCUUCGGAUCGUAAAACUCUGUUAUUAGGGAAGAACAGAUGUGUAAGUAGCUGUGCACAUCUUGACGGUACCUAAUCAGAAAGCCACGGCUAACUACGUG